This 85-nucleotide transfer RNA is filed under the name Candidatus Zhuqueibacterota bacterium. RNAcentral describes it as "candidate division KSB1 bacterium (freshwater sediment metagenome) tRNA-Leu". It matches the Rfam family "tRNA". From Rfam's summary of the family: Transfer RNA (tRNA) molecules are approximately 80 nucleotides in length. Their secondary structure includes four short double-helical elements and three loops (D, anti-codon, and T loops). Lineage: Bacteria; Pseudomonadati. The record is from RNAcentral.
GCCGCAGUGGUGGAAUCUGGUAGACACGCUAUCUUGAGGGGGUAGUGCCCUACCGGGCGUGUGGGUUCAAAUCCCACCUGCGGCA